Prunus dulcis (almond) is the source of this 388-nucleotide long non-coding RNA. RefSeq lists it as uncharacterized. The transcript is spliced from 3 exons. The record is from RefSeq and is a predicted model, not a curated record. Lineage: Eukaryota; Viridiplantae; Streptophyta; Magnoliopsida; Rosales; Rosaceae.
UCCCCCUUUCCCUCUAACUAGAGAUAUUAAUUACUUAAGAUAAGAUUAGGAAGGGAAGGAAUCAAAAAUUUGGAUGAGGAAGAAGAGAAUUGGAGGAAGGGAAGGAAAAAUUUAUCCAAGGAACAAGAGAGAACCGGCAACCUCCGAAGGGUAAUUCCGUCUUUUUAGCUUCUUGGACACGAGAUGUUGCAGGUUCCAAUGAAAAUCCUGAGGAAGAAGAAGUUCCAUCAAAGGUCUAGAUCAGUGUCGUUAGUCACUGUUUGUAAAAUUAUUAAGGAAUAAAUUGUUUGAAUAUGACUCUAGUGUGUGUAACGAACUUUGAGCUACUGUGAGUCUGACUUUGUAUUUAUUAAAUAAGUUUAUAAUAUUAUUGCCUCUACUUCUAUCA